This 446-nucleotide ribosomal RNA is filed under the name uncultured soil bacterium. RNAcentral's name for it is "bacterial SSU rRNA". It matches the Rfam family "Bacterial small subunit ribosomal RNA", at positions 26 to 518 of the family's 1533-position model. The record is from RNAcentral.
AGAACGAACGCUGGCGGCAUGCCUAACACAUGCAAGUCGAACGAGACCUUCGGGUCUAGUGGCGCACGGGUGCGUAACGCGUGGGAAUCUGCCCUUGGGUUCGGGAUAACAGUUGGAAACGACUGCUAAUACCGGAUGAUGACUUCGGUCCAAAGAUUUAUCGCCCAAGGAUGAGCCCGCGUAGGAUUAGCUUGUUGGUGAGGUAAGAGCUCACCAAGGCGACGAUCCUUAGCUGGUCUGAGAGGAUGAUCAGCCACACUGGGACUGAGACACGGCCCAGACUCCUACGGGAGGCAGCAGUGGGGAAUAUUGGACAAUGGGCGAAAGCCUGAUCCAGCAAUGCCGCGUGAGUGAUGAAGGCCUUAGGUGUAAAGCUCUUUACCGGGAUGAUAAUGACAGUACCGGAGAAGUAAGCCCCGGACUAACCGUCCGUGCCAGCACGCCGC